CGAGCGAACGGACGAGAAGCUUGCUUCUCUGAUGUUAGCGGCGGACGGGUGAGUAACACGUGGAUAACCUACCUAUAAGACUGGGAUAACUUCGGGAAACCGGAGCUAAUACCGGAUGAUAUUUUGAACCGCAUGGUUCAAAAGUGAAAGACGGUCCAUGCUGUCACUUAUAGAUGGAUCCGCGCUGCAUUAGCUAGUUGGUAAGGUAACGGCUUACCAAGGCAACGAUGCAUAGCCGACCUGAGAGGGUGAUCGGCCACACUGGGACUGAGACACGGUCCAGACUCCUACGGGAGGCAGCAGUAGGGAAUCUUCCGCAAUGGGCGAAAGCCUGACGGAGCAACGCCGCGUGAGUGAUGAAGGUCUUCGGAUCGUAAAACUCUGUUAUUAGGGAAGAACAUAUGUGUAAGUA
This 412-nucleotide ribosomal RNA is filed under the name uncultured Staphylococcus sp. RNAcentral describes it as "bacterial SSU rRNA". It matches the Rfam family "Bacterial small subunit ribosomal RNA", at positions 63 to 463 of the family's 1533-position model. Lineage: Bacteria; Bacillati; Bacillota; Bacilli; Caryophanales; Staphylococcaceae. The record is from RNAcentral.